AUCCAGCUGACGAGUCCCGAAUAGGACGAAACGACCGUCCUGGAU
RNAcentral lists this non-coding RNA (45 nucleotides) under Schistosoma mattheei. The record is from RNAcentral. Lineage: Eukaryota; Metazoa; Platyhelminthes; Trematoda; Strigeidida; Schistosomatidae.